This is a long non-coding RNA of Camellia sinensis, 4012 nucleotides long. RefSeq lists it as uncharacterized. Lineage: Eukaryota; Viridiplantae; Streptophyta; Magnoliopsida; Ericales; Theaceae. The record is from RefSeq and is a predicted model, not a curated record.
AUUAUCAGAGCCAUCAAAGUACUAGCCAGAGGUCUUCAGCUACAUCAAACACGCAAGAUGAAGAGGCCCCUUCGUUCAAGGCAAGAAAAUAGUAGAAACUUUGAUCUGAAGAGGAAGAUGACGCAAGCGGCGACGAGAGUCCAUAAAGCCCAACGGAAAACCAAUCAUUUCUCCGACGAUUGCCCCAACUGCAGAUAAGUUCUUCUUCUCUCUCUGUCUCUCUUCAGCCACUCUUGUUUCUAUUUCUGUAUAUAAGCAUUAGUUGUAUGCUCUGGUAUUUAAUAUAUGUAUGAAAUCUCUCUCUCUCUCUCUCUCUCUGACCACUUUCCUAUUUGAAUUUGUCUUCUAAAAUUAGACUUUUUUGUUUUGGUAAUUAAAAAGAAAGUCCCCUACAUACAAGAUAUGGGGGUUUUAGGGCUUCCUUUGAACUACCGAGAGCACUUAGGCAAUAACCGGGUUGUUUGGUAGUGGGGGGUGUGGAUUUGAUAACCAUGAGUCGUAUGCUCUUCUUUUUUUUUAUGUAUGAACACUCUCUCUCUAUCUCUAUGUCUCACCACUUUGCAAUUUCAAUUUGUCUUAUAAAUUCAAACAUUCGUUAGGUAAUUAAAACGAAAGUCCCCUAAAGUAGAAGAGAUUGGGGUGUUAGGGCUUCCUUUUCUGGUCUUCUUUGUGUUUCGAUUGUGUUUUUGGGACUUGACUGUAUAGUGUUGUCGCACUAUACCUUCUUCGCCAGAUUGGAAACAGAUUUUGUUUUUUUACAAAACACAAAUGUAAGACUAAAGAUUUAUAAUUGGGAACAGAUUUUGGUUCUAUUUGGAUUUUUGGAAACAUAUUUUUAUUCAUAAUUGGAAACAGAUUUUUGUUCUAUUUGGUUUUUUGUAACCUGUUAUGUCUAACCCAUCGUCUAUUUUUUUCAUUUUUGAAAGAUUUUCAACCUACUAAUAACUUUAUAAUUGGAAACAGAUUUUUGGAAAUGGAUUUUUGAUCUAUUUGGUUUUUUGGAAGUAGAUUUUUGGAAACAGAUUCAAUAUUCAUAAUUGGAAACAGAUUCAAUAUUUAUAAUUGGAAACAGAUUGUUGGAAACAGAUUCAAUAUUCAUAAUUGGAAACAGAUUUUUGGAAACAGAUUCAAUAUUCAUAAAUAGAAAUAGAUUUUUGGAAUGUUUGGCUUUUUUUAACCUGCUAUCUCUAACCCAUCCUCUAUGUUUUUCAUUUCCGAAAGAUUUUCAGCCUACUAUUCUGUCAAGAUUUUCAAAAAAUUUUGAAAGAUUUGUUUAUAUCAAUAGACGAUCACCUGAAAAAUAGUUUAUAUUGUGUUUGAUUUUUUUUUUUUUCUGUUUCAUCACCUAAAAUACUAGUUUAUCAGCUCUAAAUGUUUUUUCAUACAACAGAGGAUAACCUCGAAGGUUUUUUGUUCUGUUUCAUGUUUUUCAUUCUGUCAAUAUUUUUUACAAAUAGAAGAUCACCUGUAAAAUACUAAUCAUUAUAUAAAUUUUAUUACAUUACAAAUAACUUUUAAUAUGUAUGAUUUGCACACACACAAAAAAAAAAAAUUGGCAUCAUUUGUUAGAGUGAAAUUUUAUUUUGUAGGGUGCAGCUUGUUGGGUCAUUUUUUGGGUUGUAGGGAGUUCCUAUCCUGUUUCACAAGGGGAACAGAUGUAGCACAGUAUUGUAAAGAGUAGUUGCAUGUGUAAUGGUCUCUGGUUGGUAUCCAAAAGUAAAAAAAAAAAUUUGUUUCCCAGGUUCAUAACCGUUUCUAAGGAGUAACAAGGGAACAAAACUGUAAUAUAUAUCGCAUUGGAAAAAUCACCAAUUAUGGAAAAAAUAUUGAAAACAUAAACGCCAAAAGAAAUAUAGUAUUUGUCUAAUGCAUACUGGUAUUCAUAAGAAUUUCGUCUUUAUCAUGUUCAUGUUUGUACCAGAACUUGGUGUUUAUUAUGUUAUUAUUUGUUUGAUUUGCUGUGUGUGAUGUCCAAAUAAAAAAUCUACUGCAUACAAAUUGUUUGAAAAAAAUCAGUAUGAAAUUACAAAAUUUGUGGACAUGAAAAAUGACGUCCAAUGACAAACUUGUUAACACAACAAACUUAUCCCAUAGCAUAAGUGUCACACCUAUUGAACUGUUAUUGUUGUGCUUCUUAUGUCACGAAACAAGUCAUCAAAGACUAUAUGGCCUCGUUUAUGUCGACUGCCACAUCAACACAACCAGGCCCUAUGUGUGCUUGUGGGUACGGGCACUAUGUGGUCAAGAUUUCUCGAUUUGCAAAAAAUCUAGGUCGUACGUACUACCAAUGCCCUCGUUGAGUAGUGAGUACAAGCACUUUCAUUUUUUUGGUGUAAUUCCCUUGUCAAACCGUCACUAAUACUUUUUUUAACCUCAGCCAUGUGUCAAUUGGAUUGGGUAGUGUGACGAAUAUGGGCAACAAACGCCUCCUGAGAAUGACAGAGACACUGUGCGUCGUUUUAAGGCUCGUUUGAUUGACAUUGAGCAGACUCAGUGUGCACUUAAAGUUGUGACUUGUUUUUUGUCUAUCAUCGUCAUUAUUUUGUUGUUCCGUAUGUAAUAUAUGUAUCUGUGUUUACAUGGUUACCCUACUACUCUAUCUAUACUAUUUGGUGGCCCAAAUAAUAGUUUUAUGUUAUCAGUUCAGAACAUGUAUUACUUAUCAUAUGUGUUCCCUGUGUUCAAUGUUCUUUGCGAAGUUGUGUAAAAAAGUUAUAUAUAAACAAAAGUGUGCAUGGCAAUAUCGUUGCAAAACUUAACAUUUAUAUAACUUGCGAGCAUGAAGAUCUUGGGUUUCUCUUGUGAUUUUAACUACGUGACACGUAAUACACACAUAAUUAUAUAUGGUGAACAUCUUUGAUAUAAAUAAUGACCAUACGUAAUACGCAAAUUAUAUUGUAAUUAUUAUAAUCGCAUGGCGUCAAAUCGAUCUGGCUCUUGUACCCCUUCUGUCAAAGGAAAGGGCCCAAAAUCUAAUCACAAAGCUAAUUGGGACUGGGAGAACACAUGUAUCUUCUUGAAACUUGUUCUUAAGGAAAUUGAAAUAGGUAACGGGCCGCACAUGUCAAUCACUUAGUGGAUUGAUGCAUGAGAUUAAACAACUAAAAAACAAGCACAAUCAACUGAAGUCGAAGUGGUGUGCAUGAUUGAAGCUGAUGGAUUGCCGGAAAGGCCCCACUGGAAUUGGGUUCGACCAAGAGAAUGGGUUGUUCAAUGCAUCAGAUGAAUGGUGGGCUAGAAUGGAGAAGGUUGAUUCCGUAUGUUACAAGUUUAGAAUGAAGCCAUUGGAUCAUGAAGAGUUGAUGCAUCACGUAUUCACUGGGCUACAACAACGAGUAAAAAUGCUUCGACGCUUGGCGAGAUGCGAAACCAAUUAGAGGUGGAAGGGGAGUCCGCCGUGCUGAAUUUUCUAUCGGCAACAACGGAUUGGGAGCAUCAGAAACAGCUGACUUGAUGAAAUCCGCAACCAUAAAUGCAUCAAGUAGUGGCAGCAAAAAGAGGCACUCAUCAAGCACAUCGAUGUAGAAAAAGCGAAUGACCGGGGCAGAAGCAUUGGCAACAAGCAUAGAUGAUUUAGUUAAUUCGGUUAAGACCCAAAGCAGGAAACUCACUGUAAACCAUGUUGUCGGCAACCAUAGUGUCACUAUGGCCCAAGCAGUUGGACGUCUUUAUGAAAUUUAGGGACUAGACCAAGCUAAUCCAUUGCUCUAUUUUGGAAUUUUGCUUAUGGAGGUGCCCAAUAAUAGGGAGAUAGUGAUGAGUAUUCCUUCAGACGAAGGCAUUAUCGGUUGGCUCCAAGUGAAGCAACAGAACAAAGAGAGCAUUGCAACUGUUCCAACUCUUGCGAGCAUAUUGUGCAAUGAAGGACUUCGCUUUUAAAUAUGUUUUUUUCUAUUUCCCAAAGACCUGUUUUUUUAACUAUGCUUUGUUUGGACCUGUUUUUAGUUGCAGUUUGUUUAAGGAGAAUUGCUUGAGUUGGUUAUAUAUCUACAAGAUUUACCUAUUUUUUUAA